This 30-nucleotide non-coding RNA is filed under the name Mus musculus (house mouse). Lineage: Eukaryota; Metazoa; Chordata; Mammalia; Rodentia; Muridae. The record is from RNAcentral.
UGGAAUUAGACUCCUGGGAUCCCGGCUAGC